This 2950-nucleotide ribosomal RNA is filed under the name Simkania negevensis. RNAcentral's name for it is "bacterial LSU rRNA". It matches the Rfam family "Bacterial large subunit ribosomal RNA". The record is from RNAcentral. Lineage: Bacteria; Pseudomonadati; Chlamydiota; Chlamydiia; Parachlamydiales; Simkaniaceae.
UAUUGAUUAAGCUAUUAAGAGCUAUUGGUGGAUGCCUUGGCAUCGACAGGCGAUGAAGGACGCGCGUACCUGCGAUAAGCUUCGGGGAGCUGGAUAGAAGCAUUGAACCGAAGAUUUCCGAAUGGGGGAACCCAGUGGAGUUAGUCCUCCACUAUUCCUACCUGAAUACAUAGGGUUGGAAAGCAAUACCUGCUGAAUUGAGACAUCUAAGUAGGCAGAGGAAAAGAAAUCAAUUGAGAUUCCCGUAGUAGCGGCGAGCGAAGUGGGAAGAGCCCAAACCGAAAAUUUAUUUUCGGGGUUGUAGGACUAGUCAUAAAGCUUAAGUGGACUUAGCAUAAUCAUCUGGGAAGGUGAGCGAUACAGGGUGAAAGCCCCGUGUGCAAAGAGAAAGCUUAAGUGAGAUUAGCACCUGAGUAGGGCCGGACACGUGAAACCCGGUCUGAAUCUGGGGAGACCACUCUCCAAGGCUAAAUACUCGUCGAUGACCGAUAGUGCACAAGUACAGUGAUGGAAAGGUGAAAAGAACCCCUGUUAGGGGAGUGAAAUAGAAUCUGAAACCAGUAGCUUACAAGCGGUCAGAGGCCUAUAUCCCUUUUAGGGAAAUGGCUGAUGGCGUGCCUUUUGCAUGAUGAGCCAGCGAGUUAAGUUAUACGGCUAGGUUAAGGAAUAUACGUUCCGGAGCCGGAGUGAAAGCGAGCGUUAAUAGCGCUUACAGUCGUAUGAUUUAGACACGAAACCAAGUGAUCUAUCCAUGACCAGGAUGAAGCACGAGUAACAUCGUGUGAAGGUCCGAACUAGUGUAUGUUGAAAAAUACUUGGAUGAGUUGUGGAUAGGGGUGAAAGGCCAAUCAAACUUGGAGAUAUCUUGUUCUCUCCGAAAUAACUUUAGGGUUAGCCUUGACUUUCAGACUUUUGGGGGUAGAGCACUGGAUUCCCAAGGGGGCCUACCGGCCUACCAAAGGAAACCAAACUCCGAAUACUAAAAGUUAAGUCAGGAGAUAGACAGUGGGGGAUAAGCUUCAUUGUCAAAAGGGGAACAGCCCAGAUCGCCGAUUAAGGCCCCUAAUUCUAUGCUAAGUGAGUAAGGAUGUGAAGUUUCACAGACAGUUGGAAUGUUGGCUUAGAGGCAGCCACCAUUUAAAGAGUGCGUAACAGCUCACCAACCGAGAAAUUUUGCGCCGAUAAUAAACGGGACUAAGCAUAGAGCCGAAAUCGCGGGUGCCAUACAUUUGUAUGGCGCGGUAGGAGAGCGUAGUAUGUGCGGUGAAGAUAUACCGAAAGGAGUGUUGGAGCGCAUACUAGUGAGGAUGCAUGGCAUGAGUACACGAUAAAGGAAGUGAGAAUCUUCCUCGCCGAAAGCCUAAGGUUUCCAGGGUAAAGCUCGUCUUCCCUGGGUUAGCCGGCCCCUAAGCCGAGGCAGAAAUGCGUAGGCGAUGGAAAGCAGGUUAAAUAUUCCUGCGCCACCUAAAACUAUGGUGAUGGGACGACGAAGUAUGUUAAGCACGCGAACUAUUGGAUGUUCGUUUCUCUAUGAGGCCGCUCAGCAGGUAAAUCCGCUGAGAGAAAGCCAGGUAGGGGACAAGGGGAACCUUCGGGGGAACCGAUGGUGUAGCGCUAGGCUUCCAAGAAAUAGUCUCUAACCGUUGAUGGUGACCGUACCAAAACCGACACAGGUAGGCAUGAUGAAUAUUCUCAGGCGCGCGAGACAACUCUCGUUAAGGAACUCGGCAAAUUAUCCUCGUAACUUCGGAAGAAGAGGAGCCCCUUGGUGUGAUUCCCUUGCGGAUAAGCAUCGGGGGGCCGCAGAGAAAUGGCCCAGGCGACUGUUUAACAAAAACACAGCACUAUGCAAACUCGUCUAAGAGGAAGUAUAUGGUGUGAUGCCUGCCCAAUGCCAAAAGGUCAACAGGAGGCGUCAGCCCUUCGGGGCGAAGCGCUGAAUAUAAGCCCUGGUGAAUGGCGGCCGUAACUAUAACGGUCCUAAGGUAGCGAAAUUCCUUGUCGGGUAAGUUCCGACCUGCACGAAUGGCGUAACGAUCUGGGCGCUGUCUCAACGAGAGACUCGGUGAAAUUGUAGUAGCGGUGAAGAUGCCGUUUACCCGCAGCUAGACGGAAAGACCCCGUGAACCUUUACUGUACUCUGAUAUUGGCUUUUGACUUGUCAUGUGUAGGAUAGCCGGGAGGCUGUGAAAGAGAUUCGUCAGGAUUUCUGGAGCCAUCCUUGAAAUACCGGCCUUGACAUGUUGAAAAUCUAACGAAGCCCCGUGAAUCCGGGGUUCGGACAUUGUCAGACGGGCAGUUUGACUGGGGCGGUAUCCUCCUAAAAUGUAACGGAGGAGUUCAAAGCUUGCCUCAUCGUGGUUGGCAAUCACGAUUAGAGCGUAAAGGUAUAAGGCAAGUUGACUGCGAGACCAACGAGUCGAGCAGGUACGAAAGUAGGACUUAGUGAUCCGGCGGUGGAAAGUGGAAUCGCCGUCGCUUAACGGAUAAAAGGUACUCCGGGGAUAACAGGCUUAUCGCCACCAAGAGUUCAUAUCGACGUGGCGGUUUGGCACCUCGAUGUCGACUCAUCGCAUCCUGGGGCUGUAGAAGGUCCCAAGGGUUUGGCUGUUCGCCAAUUAAAGCGGUACGCGAGUUGGGUUCAGAACGUCGUGAGACAGUUUGGUCCCUAUCUGCUGUGGGCGUAGGAUACUUGAGAAGAGCUGCUUCUAGUACGAGAGGACCGAAGUGGACGAACCAAUGGUGUUCCGGUUGUUCUGCCAAGAGCAUUGCCGGGUAGCUAUGUUCGGAAAGGAUAAGCGUUGAAAGCAUCUAAACGCCAAGCCUCCUUCAAGAUAAAGUAUCCCUAUGAGACAACCUGAAGACGACAGGGUUGAUAGGCUGGGUGUGUAAGUACAGCAAUGUAUUGAGCUAACCAGUACUAAUCUGUCCAUUGGCUUAAUCUUUUUUU